AACCCUCAGACUGAAGCAGAGUUUGUCCUUCAUGGCUGAGACGCUGCAGUUCCUCCACCUGUCAGUGAAAAAUUAAUGAUGCUUUCCCAGGAAAUAACAGAACAAUCACAAACUACAGUCUGCCUUCAGCAGGUGAAGGUGAAACCAGCCUCCUCACAUCCGGCUCGGACUGAAUGAAAGCUUCAGCUCAGAGUUUCAGGUUUUUCACUUUGACAGUUUGAAAGACUUUCAGGCUUCACCUUUUGUCCGACGUGCAGAGACUGAAGGCCCAGAGGAUGAACUGAGCUUUGAUUACCGGCCGUGAUGGAGCUGCUGCUGAGGGCGAAACGGUGAUUUGCUAACCUGCUGAAGUCAUUCAUGUAGCAGGACAUCUCAUUAAUGACAAACAGCAGUCAACAGCCUCACAUGUUUACUCAUUGUUUUUAUAGAAAUGGCUCAAAAUGUUCUAUUUUACAGUGUGAUGCUGAAUGAUAAAAAUCUAAAUGUUUGCGCCUGUGCGAUAAAACUUCAGUUGCAUCUUAAUUAACAGUUAAUAAUUCAGUAAAUUAAAGGGAUACCUGCUCUGAACUUCAUCUCAGGGUCAGCAUGUGCAGUGAAUGGAAGCAGUCGGACAUGAGAGCACAAAGCAAACAGUUGAAUGCUGAGAAAAACCUCAGAUUUGACCGUGAAAUUAAAAUGCGAUGAUGAAAGUGCACUUUGAUGCUGUUGUGUGACUUCACUGUGGCUCAGCCCACCAUAAGGAUGCGAAGGAGGAAUGUUUCCACUCAGUAUGGACUCCUGCUGCUGCUGCU
Long non-coding RNA from Scatophagus argus, 791 nucleotides. RefSeq lists it as uncharacterized. The record is from RefSeq and is a predicted model, not a curated record. Lineage: Eukaryota; Metazoa; Chordata; Actinopteri; Scatophagidae. The transcript is spliced from 3 exons.